RNAcentral lists this ribosomal RNA (503 nucleotides) under uncultured bacterium. RNAcentral describes it as "partial 16S ribosomal RNA". It matches the Rfam family "Bacterial small subunit ribosomal RNA", at positions 30 to 523 of the family's 1533-position model. The record is from RNAcentral.
AUUGAACGCUGGUGGCAGGCUUAACACAUGCAAGUCGAGCGGGGUGAUGGUGCUUGCACUAUCACUUAGCGGCGGACGGGUGAGUAAUGCUUAGGAAUCUGCCUAUUAGUGGGGGACAACAUCUCGAAAGGGAUGCUAAUACCGCAUACGUCCUACGGGAGAAAGCAGGGGAUCACUUGUGACCUUGCGCUAAUAGAUGAGCCUAAGUCGGAUUAGCUAGUUGGUGGGGUAAAGGCCUACCAAGGCGACGAUCUGUAGCGGGUCUGAGAGGAUGAUCCGCCACACUGGGACUGAGACACGGCCCAGACUCCUACGGGAGGCAGCAGUGGGGAAUAUUGGACAAUGGGGGGAACCCUGAUCCAGCCAUGCCGCGUGUGUGAAGAAGGCCUUAUGGUUGUAAAGCACUUUAAGCGAGGAGGAGGCUCUUUUGGUUAAUACCCAAGAUGAGUGGACGUUACUCGCAGAGUAAGCACCGGCUAACUCUGUGCCAGCAGCCGCAGUAA